GAUGAAGAACGUAGCGGAAUGCGAUAAGUAAUGUGAAUUGCAGAAUUCAGUGAAUCAUCGAAUCUUUGAACGCACAUUGCGCCCAUUAGUAUUCUAGUGGGCAUGCCUGUUCGAGCGUCAUUAAUUCCACUUAAGCCCUGCUUAGUGUUGGGAAUCUACUCUAGUGGUGCUACCCUGGAGCUACUCCUGAAAGGGGGCUGGCCCGGUAGCUACCCUGUAGUUCCUCAAAGAUAGUGCGCGGAGUUGCGUGGUCCUCUGAGCUUAGUAACUAUACACCUAGCUUUUGAGUGUCCCGCGGCGCCUGCCGUUUAAACCCCAUCUUUUAAUGGUUGACCUCGGAUCAGGUAGGAAUACCCGCUGAACUUAAGCAUAUCAAUAAGCGGAGGA
RNAcentral lists this unclassified non-coding RNA (387 nucleotides) under soil metagenome. RNAcentral describes it as "partial contains 5.8S ribosomal RNA, internal transcribed spacer 2, and large subunit ribosomal RNA". The stretch from base 1 to 120 matches the Rfam family "5.8S ribosomal RNA", at positions 35 to 154 of the family's 154-position model. The record is from RNAcentral.